GAUGAACGCUAGCUACAGGCUUAACACAUGCAAGUCGUGGGGCAGCAUGACUGAAGCUUGCUUCAGUUGAUGGCGACCGGCGCACGGGUGAGUAACGCGUAUCCAACCUUCCCAUGACAGGGGAAUAACCUUGCGAAAGUAAGACUAAUGCCCCAUGGUCUCCGACGACGGCAUCAGACUCGGAGUAAAGGCCUCGGCCGGUGAUGGAUGGGGAUGCGUCCGAUUAGCUUGACGGCGGGGUAACGGCCCACCGUGGCACCGAUCGGUAGGGGUUCUGAGAGGAAGGUCCCCCACAUUGGAACUGAGACACGGUCCAAACUCCUACGGGAGGCAGCAGUGAGGAAUAUUGGUCAAUGGGCGCAAGCCUGAACCAGCCAAGUAGCGUGAGGGACGACGGCCCUAUGGGUUGUAAACCUCUUUAUGCGGGGAUAACCGGUGCCACGCGUGGCGCCCUGCAGGUACCGCAUGAAUAAGGACCGGCU
This 482-nucleotide ribosomal RNA is filed under the name uncultured bacterium. RNAcentral's name for it is "bacterial SSU rRNA". It matches the Rfam family "Bacterial small subunit ribosomal RNA", at positions 28 to 498 of the family's 1533-position model. The record is from RNAcentral.